RNAcentral lists this transfer RNA (72 nucleotides) under Erysipelotrichaceae bacterium. Its description in RNAcentral is "tRNA-Gln". It matches the Rfam family "tRNA". Rfam says of the family: Transfer RNA (tRNA) molecules are approximately 80 nucleotides in length. RNAcentral also lists the same sequence under 2 other names. Lineage: Bacteria; Bacillati; Bacillota; Erysipelotrichia; Erysipelotrichales; Erysipelotrichaceae. The record is from RNAcentral.
UGCGGCAUAGCCAAGCGGUAAGGCAAGGGACUUUGACUCCCUCAUGCGCGCGUUCGAAUCGCGCUGCCGCAG